GGCCGUUCGGGCGGCCAUAAACAGCCCUCAGACCCGAAGCGUGGCGUUCC
RNAcentral lists this unclassified non-coding RNA (50 nucleotides) under Alistipes putredinis. RNAcentral describes it as "RNA (50-MER) from Alistipes putredinis (PDB 6R47, chain A)". The record is from RNAcentral. Lineage: Bacteria; Pseudomonadati; Bacteroidota; Bacteroidia; Bacteroidales; Rikenellaceae.